GAUGAACGCUGGCGGCGUGCCUACUACAUGCAAGUCGAGCGAACAGACGAGGAGCUUGCUCCUCUGACGUUAGCGGCGGACGGGUGAGUAACACGUGGAUAACCUACCUAUAAGACUGGGAUAACUUCGGGAAACCGGAGCUAACACCGGAUAAUAUAUUGAACCGCAUGGUUCAAUAGUGAAAGACGGUUUUGCUGUCACUUAUAGAUGGAUCCGCGCCGCAUUAGCUAGUUGGUAAGGUAACGGCUUACCAAGGCAACGAUGCGUAGCCGACCUGAGAGGGUGAUCGGCCACACUGGAACUGAGACACGGUCCAGACUCCUACGGGAGGCAGCAGUAGGGAAUCUUCCGCAAUGGGCGAAAGCCUGACGGAGCAACGCCGCGUGAGUGAUGAAGGUCUUCGGAUCGUAAAACUCUGUUAUUAGGGAAGAACAAAUGUGUAAGUAACUAUGCACGUCUUGACGGUACCUAAUCAGAAAGCCACGGCUAACUACGUG
RNAcentral lists this ribosomal RNA (497 nucleotides) under uncultured bacterium. RNAcentral's name for it is "partial 16S ribosomal RNA". It matches the Rfam family "Bacterial small subunit ribosomal RNA", at positions 28 to 507 of the family's 1533-position model. The record is from RNAcentral.